CCCUUAGAUGUCCUGGGCUGCACGCGCGCUACACUGAUGCGUCCAAUAAGCACCUAACCUAAUCCGAAGGGACCGGGUAACCUUAGCAAAGCGCAUCGUGAUGGGGAUAGAUUAUUGCAAUUAUUAGUCUUGAACGAGGAAUUCCUAGUAAGCGCAAGUCAUCAGCUUGUGUUGAUUACGUCCCUGCCCUUUGUACACACCGCCCGUCGCUACUACCGAUUGAACGGUUUAGUGAGGGCCUCGGAUUGGUCUCGGCCCGCUCUUUACCGGGCGGCGCCGUUGGUCGAGAAGACGCUCGAACUUGAUCGUUUAGAGGAAGUAAAAGUCGUAACA
This 333-nucleotide ribosomal RNA is filed under the name uncultured eukaryote. Its description in RNAcentral is "partial 18S ribosomal RNA". It matches the Rfam family "Eukaryotic small subunit ribosomal RNA", at positions 1470 to 1796 of the family's 1831-position model. The record is from RNAcentral.